Molecule: small RNA, 516 nt
Filed under: Arabidopsis thaliana (thale cress)
Lineage: Eukaryota; Viridiplantae; Streptophyta; Magnoliopsida; Brassicales; Brassicaceae
Description: ATSL117120
Source: RNAcentral
AGAGAUAAAAACACAUUACACUUACUAGCAUAUAUAAGCACAAUUAGUUAGGAAGAUGUAAUAAGCCUAAAUACCUUCUGUUUACGAAGUGUGUUUGAUGUAUCAUAUAUUAAUAUAGUGUUGUUAUAUGCGUAAAAUAAGUUUGUUUUUUCCGCUUUUAGUUAGCGACUAAGGUUUUUUCUGAUACAUUGAUGCGGAAGGUGCGAGGUAGCUCUUCGCAUUACUUCUUAUCAUACUAAAUUAACUAGUAUUUAAUAGUUAAAAUUUAUUUUUCCUAAUUAUUUUUGUAAAUAGUUAUCAAUUAAAAUUAAACAAUAACUUAAGAAAAUGUUGAAAUUAUAACUUACAUAUAGCUCAAACACAUGUACAACAACAAGCAAGUUGGCCAAAAUGUUUUAUAGUAAUUAGUAAUUACUGCAACGAGUUAGUUUAAAUAUAUGAUAUCAACGUAAUGAAGCUUUUUUUUUUUUUUUUUUUAAUUUUCUGGCGUUUUCAAGCAUCUGAUACCACUUGCUG